CUCUUGCCUGCCGCUGUGUAGCAUGUGACUUCGCUGUUCUUUGGCCUUCCACCAUGAUUGUGAGACCUCCUCAGCCAUGUGGAACUGCUGGAGUGCAAUGGCGUGAUCUCGGCUCACCACAACCUCCAUCUCCCAGGUUCAAGUGAUUCUCCUGCUUCAGCCUCCAGAGUAGCUGGGAAGCUGGGAUUACAGGCAUGCGUCGCCACGCCCAUCUAAUUCUGUAUUUUUAGUAGAGAUGGGGUUUCUCCAUGUUGGUCAGGCUGGUCUCAAACUCCUGACUUCAGGUAAUCUACUCGCCUAGGCCUCCCAAAGUGCUGGGGAUUACAGGCAUGAGCUAUCGCAUCCGGCCCUGUUUGGCUUUCUAAAAUAGACUGUGUGUCUCACCCAGCAUGACGUUAGAUCUGUUUAGCAUGACAGCAUUCCAUUGAGUCAACUCCUUGGACAUACUAUAUGUUUUGUUUCCCUGGUAGCUAAUUAAAUAAGACAACUAAGUGCAGUCUAGAAAGUUCCUCUCAUAACAAAGUUCCCAAGAAUUUACAUCUUUGCUUUACUUACUUACUUUUUCGUGGUAGUUGAAGUUCAAGUGGAAACUGAUUAUAAAGGAGAAACCUAAAUCAAGUUAGGUGAAUUCUGCAGUAUGAACUGUGCUUGGAAAAUCUAACUGGUAACGUAUCCACAUUGGGAACUUGGUCCUUCCUCUCACAAAGAAAAUUCCAGGUCAAUUUCAUCCCCUAUGCUAAGCAUUUGAGUGUUCAGGAAUGUGAUUUUAGUUUUAUAAAAAUUGUUCUUUUUAAAAUUCCUGUCAAAUAAUCAGAUUUUUUUCUCAGCACAUUUAGAAGUAAAAAUGGAAAGUUUAGAGCAUUUUGAUAUUUUAGUAUUUAUUUCCAUGAAGUCACUUAACCCUCCCAGACUAGUUUCAGAGUUUUGUCUUCCAACCCAUCUUUGUGUCUCACUGUACAUUUUCUGCAUGUACAAUGAGAGGUGAUUUUUAAUUGGAAUCCCUUAGAUUUUUAGAGAGAAAGCUCUCCUCCUUUAUUC
Molecule: long non-coding RNA, 1038 nt
Filed under: Homo sapiens (human)
Lineage: Eukaryota; Metazoa; Chordata; Mammalia; Primates; Hominidae
Description: HSALNT0384788
Source: RNAcentral